This 69-nucleotide transfer RNA is filed under the name Bathytroctes macrolepis (Koefoed's smooth-head). Its description in RNAcentral is "tRNA-His". It matches the Rfam family "tRNA". Rfam says of the family: Transfer RNA (tRNA) molecules are approximately 80 nucleotides in length. Their secondary structure includes four short double-helical elements and three loops (D, anti-codon, and T loops). The record is from RNAcentral. Lineage: Eukaryota; Metazoa; Chordata; Actinopteri; Alepocephaliformes; Alepocephalidae.
GUAGACAUAGUUUAACUAAGACACUAGAUUGUGAUUCUAGAGAUAGGGGCUAAACCCCCCUUGUCCACC